RNAcentral lists this ribosomal RNA (325 nucleotides) under uncultured Rhodobacter sp. RNAcentral's name for it is "bacterial SSU rRNA". It matches the Rfam family "Bacterial small subunit ribosomal RNA", at positions 1 to 360 of the family's 1533-position model. Lineage: Bacteria; Pseudomonadati; Pseudomonadota; Alphaproteobacteria; Rhodobacterales. The record is from RNAcentral.
UAGAGUUUGAUCAUGGCUCAGAACGAACGCUGGCGGCAGGCCUAACACAUGCAAGUCGAACGGCACCUUCGGGUGUAGUGGCGGACGGGUGAGUAACACGUGGGAACGUACCUUUUGCUUCGGAAUAGCCUCGGGAAACUGGGAGUAAUACCGAAUGUGCCCUUCGGGGGAAAGAUUUAUCGGCAAAGGAUCGGCCCGCGUUGGAUUAGGUAGUUGGUGGGGUAAUGGCCUACCAAGCCGACGAUCCAUAGCUGGUUUGAGAGGAUGAUCAGCCACACUGGGACUGAGACACGGCCCAGACUCCUACGGGAGGCAGCAGUGGGGA